UGCGUAGGCGGAUUAAUAAGUCAGUGGUGAAAUCUUUCGGCUCAACCCAGAAACUGCCAUUGAUACUGUUAAUCUUGAGUUCGGUUGAGGUAGGCGGAAUGUGUAAUGUAGCGGUGAAAUGCUUAGAUAUUACACAGAACACCAAUUGCGUAGGCAGCUUACUAGACCGACACUGACGCUGAGGCACGAAAGCGUGGGGAGCGAACAGGAUUAGAUACCCUGGUAGUCC
RNAcentral lists this ribosomal RNA (229 nucleotides) under uncultured bacterium. RNAcentral's name for it is "partial 16S ribosomal RNA". It matches the Rfam family "Bacterial small subunit ribosomal RNA", at positions 568 to 796 of the family's 1533-position model. The record is from RNAcentral.